UGGGGGUGCCACGGGAGCCCGGUAUGCCGGGCUGAGAGGAGGGCCGCCAGCCCUCGACCGUACGAACCUGAUCCGGAUCAUGCCGGUGUAGGGAGGUUGCGCGCCGCUCGC
Molecule: non-coding RNA, 111 nt
Filed under: Allokutzneria albata
Lineage: Bacteria; Bacillati; Actinomycetota; Actinomycetes; Pseudonocardiales; Pseudonocardiaceae
Description: TPP sequence
Rfam family: TPP riboswitch aptamer (THI element)
About the family: Vitamin B(1) in its active form thiamin pyrophosphate (TPP) is an essential coenzyme that is synthesised by coupling of pyrimidine and thiazole moieties in bacteria. The previously detected thiamin-regulatory element, thi box was extended, resulting in a new, highly conserved RNA secondary structure, the THI element, which is widely distributed in eubacteria and also occurs in some archaea. Analysis of operon structures identified a large number of new candidate thiamin-regulated genes, mostly transporters, in various prokaryotic organisms.
Source: Rfam by way of RNAcentral